GCGCGACCGAAGCGGACAAGGGACGUGGCGGCGGUUGGCUGUGGCUGUUGAGAGAGUACAGGACAGCCAGGACCGCGAGAGGCGGCGGCGGAGGCAGUAGUUGCACCGGCAGAGGCGGCCGCUGGCAGCGGUUGAGGCGGCGGUCCAACGCGUGCUCUCUGGGCGGGGUGCGGCGGGGGAUGUGCCUGCCCAGGCCGGGCGGAGUGUCUCUGACAGGGCGGGGGAUGCGCCGCGGCAGCUCGCCCGGACCCUGAGGCUGCUGGGCCCACCCUCCCGGCACCGUCCGACCCUCGGUGGCCUCGGCCUCUUCUGCCACCUCCGGUCCGACCCUGGGGCGGAGGGUGGAAGGCAGCUUCCGUCGAAGAGGAGGGGGCUGCGGUGGCCACCGCGGCGGAGCCCGAGUUAUUUUACCAAGAAAAUGGUUUGCACGACUUUGAACAUAUACUAUCCAUGCUGAUGGGACAGGAUCCAAUAUGAAUAUAAAUGAUGGAGGAAGACGACGCUUUGAAGAUAAUGAACAUACAUUACGGAUAUAUCCUGGGACUAUUUCAGAAGGGACAAUCUACUGUCCGAUUCCUGCCAGAAAAAACUCCACAGCUGCUGAGGUGAUUGAGUCUCUUAUAAACAAACUUCAUCUUGACAAAACAAAAUGUUAUGUUCUAGCAGAGGUAAAGGAAUUUGGUGGAGAAGAAUGGAUCCUCAAUCCAACAGAUUGUCCAGUUCAGCGAAUGAUGUUGUGGCCCCGAAUGGCUCUGGAAAAUCGCUUAAGUGGAGAGGACUACCGCUUUCUUCUGAGAGAGAAAAACCUUGAUGGAUCAAUCCAUUAUGGUAGCCUGCAGUCAUGGCUACGGGUAACAGAAGAACGUCGCAGGAUGAUGGAACGGGGUUUUCUUCCACAGCCUCAACAGAAAGACUUUGAUGAUUUAUGUAGUUUACCUGAUUUGAAUGAGAAAACUCUCUUAGAAAACCUACGAAAUCGCUUUAAGCAUGAAAAAAUUUAUACCUAUGUUGGCAGUAUUCUAAUAGUUAUUAACCCAUUCAAGUUUCUUCCUAUUUAUAACCCCAAAUAUGUCAAAAUGUAUGAUAACCACCAACUGGGAAAACUUGAGCCCCACAUUUAUGCUGUGGCUGAUGUAGCUUAUCAUGCCAUGCUUCAGCGCAAAAAGAAUCAGUGCAUCGUGAUUUCGGGAGAGAGUGGUUCUGGGAAGACUCAAAGCACAAACUUUCUAAUUCACCACCUUACUGCUCUCAGUCAGAAAGGAUUUGCCAGUGGAGUAGAACAGAUUAUUCUUGGAGCUGGACCAGUACUUGAGGCCUUUGGAAAUGCAAAGACAGCUCAUAAUAACAAUUCAAGUCGUUUUGGGAAGUUUAUUCAAGUAAAUUACCAGGAAACAGGCACUGUACUUGGUGCCUAUGUUGAAAAAUAUCUACUGGAGAAGUCCAGACUCGUUUAUCAAGAGCAUAAUGAACGGAACUAUCAUGUAUUCUAUUACCUCCUGGCAGGAGCAAGUGAAGAUGAGAGAUCAGCAUUCCAUCUUAAGCAACCAGAGGAAUAUCAUUAUCUCAAUCAGAUAACAAAGAAACCCCUCAGACAGAGCUGGGAUGAUUAUUGCUAUGACUCUGAGCCGGAUUGCUUCAUGGUGGAAGGAGAAGAUUUGAGACAUGACUUUGAGCGCCUACAACUUGCCAUGGAAAUGGUAGGAUUUCUUCCCAAGACACGAAGACAGAUUUUCUCUCUUCUCUCAGCCAUACUGCAUUUGGGUAAUAUCUGUUACAAAAAGAAGACAUACCGGGAUGACUCCAUUGAUAUCUGUAAUCCUGAAGUUCUGCCUAUUGUCUCAGAAUUAUUAGAGGUUAAAGAAGAGAUGCUAUUUGAAGCAUUAGUUACAAGGAAGACGGUGACAGUGGGAGAAAAGCUUAUUUUGCCAUACAAGUUGGCAGAGGCUGUGACAGUGAGGAACUCCAUGGCUAAGUCGCUAUAUAGUGCCCUGUUUGACUGGAUAGUUUUUCGAAUUAAUCAUGCACUUCUGAAUAGUAAAGAUUUAGAGCAUAAUACCAAGACAUUGUCUAUUGGUGUUCUUGAUAUUUUUGGGUUUGAAGAUUAUGAAAAUAACAGCUUUGAACAGUUCUGUAUUAAUUUUGCUAAUGAACGUUUACAGCACUACUUUAAUCAGCAUAUCUUUAAAUUGGAACAAGAGGAAUAUAGAACUGAAGGUAUCAGCUGGCACAACAUAGAUUACAUUGAUAAUACCUGCUGCAUAAAUCUUAUUAGCAAAAAACCAACAGGACUGCUUCAUCUUUUGGAUGAAGAAAGCAACUUUCCACAGGCUACAAAUCAAACGUUGCUAGACAAGUUUAAGCAUCAACAUGAAGAUAAUUCUUACAUCGAAUUUCCAGCCGUGAUGGAGCCUGCUUUCAUUAUAAAACAUUAUGCUGGAAAAGUAAAAUAUGGGGUAAAGGAUUUCCGGGAAAAAAAUACAGAUCAUAUGCGCCCAGACAUUGUAGCUCUUCUGAGAAGCAGCAAGAAUGCAUUUAUCUCUGGUAUGAUUGGAAUUGAUCCUGUAGCUGUUUUCCGAUGGGCAAUUCUCCGAGCUUUUUUCAGAGCCAUGGUUGCUUUCAGGGAAGCUGGGAAAAGAAACAUUCACAGAAAAACUGGUAAGUAGUAGUUACUAGUAUUCUACCAUACUUCAUCUUUUUUUUUUAUCUUUCUACUUCUCCACAAAAAGGAGUAGAAUUCUUGCUACGAGAUUCUCAAGGACAAAAAUCCUGCUUCUGUAGUCAAUCUAGUGUCAUCUCUUAACUGAUUUGUGACUAUGAACAGUUUUUCUUUUCUGUAAAAGAGUUAUACUGCCUUUAAAAUUAUGAGGAUAAAGUCAGAGCAUCUGUUCAUGAAGUGUUCAUUUUCUUUUCCUUUACUCUUAGUUCAUGGAUUUUUAAAAACUUUGAAAUUUAGAAAUAGAUAAAGCAGGAUACUUUUUCUGGAUGCCUCCCCCUUCAAUCAUAAAAUCUCUCAUCUCAUGUUCUGUGGGAGGGCAACUUUAUAAGCACUUUUGGCCUACUGGAAACCAAACUGUUGUUUGCUGUAGCUCUAGUCUUAGGUAGGGCCAUUGCUGCAUAGAGAAGAUUUUGUGAUACAUAUGCAGUUGAGAUUUAUGCCUUUCAGUAGCAAUGUUAUAGGGCUCACCUGUGCUUUCAGGACUCCCAAAGUGACUUACGUGGCUUUUUGGGAUGUGCACUAGUAGUAAAACUUUUAAGUUUAGCUUUUAAAUGUUUGAGACAAAUAGAUAUAUUUGAGAGAGUGUAUUUCUAAAAAUACAUGUAAAAUAAUUGAACCUAGUUUCCGUUUUUUAGAUUGUAAGGUAUUUGGACUGGUCUUUGUAGAUAUAUAGAGAGAAUUAUAGUUUAUUAGAGAAAUAAAAGGACUAUCUCAAACCUGCUUUGCCUUUUACAAAGUGAUUUCUAAGAGGUUAUCUUUGUAAAAAGCUUUAAGGAAAAUUUUUUUUCUUUAAGAUGCUUUCUUGUUUAUUAUGACAAACUUCUAAUCAAGAAAACCACUCAAAAUUGAUUAGCAUCCUGCUAAGACAUAAUUAAGAGAAGAAACUUCUUGUAUUUACGGUCAAAGCCUAUUUACUUUAUUCACAUUAUCUGUAUAUUCCUUUGGCAUUUAAAAUCUAUUAUUUGUGAAAGCUAGUUCUUACAUAUCUGUUAUUAUCAAUAUCGGCAAUGACAUGCAAUGUUAUUAAUGAUAAACAACCUGUAUUUUCUCUACCUUGAUAAAGUCUAGAUUCCUUAUUUUCUAAUCUUGUUUUCCCUUCUGGCUAGUACAGAGCUUCCAUAUAAUAAUCUCUUUUUGAAAAUUUGUAUUCAACAUAACAUGCAUAUAGAAAAGUACACAAAGCAAAAAUGUAUAGUUCAGUGAAGUACCACAAAGUAAACACAACCCUGGAACUACCACCUAGGUUAAGAAACACAACAUUCCAGCCACCCAAAAUUUCCCCUUGGAAAAAACUGUAAAAUUUUUACUUUUUAUAAAGGAAAAGAAAAA
This 4045-nucleotide small RNA is filed under the name Pongo abelii (Sumatran orangutan). RNAcentral's name for it is "retained intron". Lineage: Eukaryota; Metazoa; Chordata; Mammalia; Primates; Hominidae. The record is from RNAcentral.